AUUCCAGCUCCAAUAGCACAUAUUAAAGCUGUUGCGUUGACGAAAACUCGUAGUUGGAUUUCUGUCAAGGACAACUGGUCCGCCCUCCGGGUGAGCACAUAGUUUGGUCUUGGCAUCUUGCUGGAAACUGUUGCUGCACUUGGCUGUUUGGCGUAGUGUCCAGCACUUUCACCUUGAGGAAAUUGGAAUGUUUCAAGCAGGCACAUGCUUUUGGACACAUUAGCAUAGAAUAAAUAUAUUGGGUUUUGGCUCUAAUUUGUCGGUUUCUGGAGCUGAGGUGAGAAUUAAUGGGGAUUGUUGGGGGCUUCCGAAUUUAGCCGUCAGAGGUGAACUUCUUGGAUCAGGUAGAGACGGUCGGUCGAUUGCGAAACCGUUUGCCCGGGAUGCUUUCAUUG
This 395-nucleotide ribosomal RNA is filed under the name Amphidinium sp. RNAcentral's name for it is "partial small subunit ribosomal RNA". It matches the Rfam family "Eukaryotic small subunit ribosomal RNA", at positions 582 to 975 of the family's 1831-position model. Lineage: Eukaryota; Dinophyceae; Amphidiniales; Amphidiniaceae. The record is from RNAcentral.